This 397-nucleotide ribosomal RNA is filed under the name uncultured bacterium. RNAcentral describes it as "partial 16S ribosomal RNA". It matches the Rfam family "Bacterial small subunit ribosomal RNA", at positions 523 to 918 of the family's 1533-position model. The record is from RNAcentral.
AUACGUAGGGGGCGAGCGUUGUCCGGAAUGAUUGGGCGUAAAGGGCGCGUAGGCGGCCCGGUAAGUCUGGAGUGAAAGUCCUGUUUUUAAGAUGGGAAUUGCUUUGGAUACUGUCGGGCUUGAGUGCAGGAGAGGUAAGUGGAAUUCCCAGUGUAGCGGUGAAAUGCGUAGAGAUUGGGAGGAACACCAGUGGCGAAGGCGACUUACUGGACUGUAACUGACGCUGAGGCGCGAAAGUGUGGGGAGCAAACAGGAUUAGAUACCCUGGUAGGCCACACUGUAAACGAUGAAUGCUAGGUGUUGCGGGUAUCGACCCCUGCAGUGCCGGAGUAAACACAAUAAGCAUUCCGCCUGGGGAGUACGGCCGCAAGGUUGAAACUCAAAGGAAUUGACGGGG